GUGUCAGCAGCCGCGGUAAGACGUAGGAUGCGAGCGUUGUCCGGAUUUAUUGGGCGUAAAGAGUUCGUAGGCGGUUUGUUAAGUCUGAUGUUAAAGACUGGGGCUCAACCCUGGGAGUGCAUUGGAUACUGGCAGACUCGAGUGCAGUAGAGGCAAGCGGAAUUCCAGGUGUAGCGGUGAAAUGCGUAGAUAUCUGGAAGAACACCGGUGGCGCAAGCGGCUUGCUGGGCUGUAACUGACGCUGAGGAACGAAAGCUAGGGUAGCGAAUGGGAUUAGAAACCCCCGUAGUCC
RNAcentral lists this ribosomal RNA (292 nucleotides) under uncultured bacterium. RNAcentral's name for it is "partial 16S ribosomal RNA". It matches the Rfam family "Bacterial small subunit ribosomal RNA", at positions 505 to 796 of the family's 1533-position model. The record is from RNAcentral.